This 467-nucleotide ribosomal RNA is filed under the name uncultured bacterium. Its description in RNAcentral is "bacterial SSU rRNA". It matches the Rfam family "Bacterial small subunit ribosomal RNA", at positions 917 to 1382 of the family's 1533-position model. The record is from RNAcentral.
GGACCCGCACAAGCGGUGGAGCAUGUUCUUUAAUUCGAAGCAACGCGAAGAACCUUACCUACACUUGACAUGCCUCUUGGGACUUUCAGAGAUGAUUGUCUUCGGUUCGGCCGGGGAGUGCACAGGUGCUGCAUGGCUGUCGUCAGCUCGUGUCGUGAGAUGUUGGGUUAAGUCCCGCAACGAGCGCAACCCUUAUCGUAUGUUGCCAGCAUUUAGUUGGGCACUCAUGCGAGACUGCCGGUGAUAAGCCGGAGGAAGGCGGGGACGACGUCAAGUCAUCAUGGCCCUUACGUGUAGGGCUAGAAACGUGCUACAAUGGCGGUGACAGUGGGCAGCGAGGCAGUGAUGCCAAGCUAAUCCCAAAAAGCCGUCUCAGUUCAGAUUGUAGUCUGCAACUCGACUACAUGAAGUUGGAAUCGCUAGUAAUCGUGAAUCAGCAUGUCACGGUGAAUACGUUCCCGGGUCUU